Molecule: ribosomal RNA, 207 nt
Filed under: uncultured bacterium
Lineage: Bacteria
Description: partial 16S ribosomal RNA
Rfam family: Bacterial small subunit ribosomal RNA
Source: RNAcentral
AGCGUAGGCGGAUUUUUAAGUGAGAUGUGAAAUACUCGGGCUUAACCUGAGUGCUGCAUUUCAAACUGGAAGUCUAGAGUGCAGGAGAGGAGAAGGGAAUUCCUAGUGUAGCGGUGAAAUGCGUAGAUAUUAGGAGGAACACCAGUGGCGAAGGCGGCUUACUGGACGGUAACUGACGUUGAGGCUCGAAAGCGUGGGGAGCAAACA